RNAcentral lists this ribosomal RNA (433 nucleotides) under uncultured bacterium. RNAcentral describes it as "partial 16S ribosomal RNA". It matches the Rfam family "Bacterial small subunit ribosomal RNA", at positions 29 to 507 of the family's 1533-position model. The record is from RNAcentral.
AACGAACGCUGGCGGCAUGCCUAACACAUGCAAGUCGAACGAGACCUUCGGGUCUAGUGGCGGACGGGUGCGUAACGAGUGGGAAGCUGCCCUUGGGUUAGGAAUCACUCACCGAAAGGGGACCUCAUACCGGAUAAUGUCAUAGGAGAUAAGAUGUUUCGCUUUUGGAUGGGCGCGCGUUGGAUUCGUCGGUUGGUAGGGUAAAAGCAUGUCAAGGCGAGGAUCCAUGGCUGGUCUGAGAGGAUGAUCAUCAACACUGGGACUGAGACACGGCCCAGCCUCGUACGGGAGGGAGCGGUGGAGAGUAUUGUACAAUGGGCGAAAGCCUGAUCCAGCAAUGCCGGGGGAGUGAUGAAGGCGGUAGGGUUGUAAAUCUGUUUUACCCGGGACGAUAAUGACAGUAACGGGUAAAGAAGCACCGGCUAACUACGUG